RNAcentral lists this ribosomal RNA (424 nucleotides) under uncultured bacterium. RNAcentral describes it as "bacterial SSU rRNA". It matches the Rfam family "Bacterial small subunit ribosomal RNA", at positions 917 to 1344 of the family's 1533-position model. The record is from RNAcentral.
GGGCCCGCACAAGCGGUGGAGCAUGUGGUUUAAUUCGAUGAUACGCGAGGAACCUUACCAGGGCUUAAAUGUAAGUUGCAUAGACCAGAGAUGGUCUUUUCUUCGGACUACUUACAAGGUGCUGCAUGGUUGUCGUCAGCUCGUGCCGUGAGGUGUCAGGUUAAGUCCUAUAACGAGCGCAACCCCUGUCGUUAGUUGCCAGCAAGUUGUGUUGGGUACUCUAGCGAGACUGCCGGUGCAAACCGAGAGGAAGGUGGGGACGACGUCAAAUCAUCACGGCCCUUACGUCCUGGGCUACACACGUGCUACAAUGGCCGGUACAGAGAGCAGCCACUACGCGAGUAGGAGCGAAUCUACAAAACCGGUCUCAGUUCGGAUCGCAGUCUGCAACUCGACUGCGUGAAGCUGGAAUCGCUAGUAAUCG